AAUGGAGAGAGGAAAGUGCAUUGGCUUGCUUGGCACAAGAUGUGUAAGGCGAAGAAGGAAGGAGGGAUGUGUUUCAUAGAUCCAGAGGCUUUUAACCAAGCGUUGUUGGCUAAACAAGCUUGGCGUAUUUUACUGUACUCAUCCUCGUUAUGUGCUAGGGUCCUCAAAGCCCCGUAUUUUCCGGAGGGGUCCAUCAUGAACGCCACGUGCCCGAGCAGGGAAUCCUUCACUUUUCAAAGCAUCAUUCACGAAAGAGAGCUGCUACGGGAAGGUGUGGUUUGGAGAAUAGGAGAUGGCACUACUGUCAAUGUACAUCAUGAUAGCUGGAUUCCUAGACAGCGGAGUCUCAAGCCACUUGGGCAACAGUUCGUGCAUGGAAUAACCCAUGUUAGCGACCUGCUCAGUGAACAGGGAACUGAAUGGGACUCGAUGAAAUUGGAGAUGAUGUUCACUCCUGGUGACGUAAACGAUAUUAAGCAGAUAGCUAUUGGCGGCCCAGGUAUGAGUGAAUAUUGUGCAUGGAAUUUUACACAGAAUGGGCAAUUCACGGUGAAAUCAGCAUACCAUCUACAGAUGCGACUGAAUGGCUUAAAGACCAGACAGGCGGGUAUUCUAGUGCCACUUCAAGAGCACAAAGCUUGGUUCACUCUUUGGGCAACCAACACAAUGAACAAAGCGAAGAUCCACGUCUGGAGGAUGCUGAAGAACAGACUGGUUGUGGGAAUGGAGCUGCACUGA
RNAcentral lists this ribosomal RNA (738 nucleotides) under Triticum aestivum (bread wheat). RNAcentral's name for it is "partial small subunit ribosomal RNA". The record is from RNAcentral. Lineage: Eukaryota; Viridiplantae; Streptophyta; Magnoliopsida; Poales; Poaceae.